GGAUGCGAUCGUACCAGCACUAAAGCACCGGAUCCCAUCAGAACUCUGAAGUUAAGCAUGCUUGGGAGAGAGUAGUACUAGGAUGGGUGACCUCCUGGGAAGUCCUGGUGUUGCAUACC
This 119-nucleotide ribosomal RNA is filed under the name Triticum aestivum (bread wheat). Lineage: Eukaryota; Viridiplantae; Streptophyta; Magnoliopsida; Poales; Poaceae. The record is from RNAcentral.